RNAcentral lists this ribosomal RNA (1080 nucleotides) under Aphyllophorales sp. DIS 296a. RNAcentral's name for it is "eukaryotic LSU rRNA". It matches the Rfam family "Eukaryotic large subunit ribosomal RNA", at positions 73 to 1142 of the family's 3401-position model. The record is from RNAcentral. Lineage: Eukaryota; Fungi; Basidiomycota; Agaricomycetes; Polyporales.
GAUUCCCCUAGUAACUGCGAGUGAAGCGGGAAAAGCUCAAAUUUAAAAUCUGGCAGUCUUUGGCUGUCCGAGUUGUAGUCUGGAGAAGCGUUUUCCGCGCUGGACCGUGUAUAAGUCCCUUGGAAUAGGGCGUCAUAGAGGGUGAGAAUCCCGUCUUUGACACGGACUACCAGUGCUUUGUGAUGCGCUCUCAAAGAGUCGAGUUGUUUGGGAAUGCAGCUCAAAAUGGGUGGUAAAUUCCAUCUAAAGCUAAAUAUUGGCGAGAGACCGAUAGCGAACAAGUACCGUGAGGGAAAGAUGAAAAGCACUUUGGAAAGAGAGUUAAACAGUACGUGAAAUUGCUGAAAGGGAAACGCUUGAAGUCAGUCGCGUUAUGCAGAACUCAGCCUGGCUUUUGCUUGGUGUAUUUUCUGUAUGACGGGCCAGCAUCAAUUUUGGCCGCUGGAGAAAGGCUCUAGAAAUGUGGCACCUCCGGGUGUGUUAUAGUCUAGGGUCAUAUACAGCGGCUGGGAUUGAGGUCUGCAGCACGCCUUUAUGGCUGGGGUUCGCCCACAUUCGUGCUUAGGAUGCUGGCGUAAUGGCUUUAAACGACCCGUCUUGAAACACGGACCAAGGAGUCUAACAUGCCUGCGAGUGUUUGGGUGGAAAACCCGAGCGCGUAAUGAAAGUGAAAGUUGAGAUCCCUGUCGUGGGGAGCAUCGACGCCCGGACCAGACCUUUUGUGACGGAUCUGCGGUAGAGCAUGUAUGUUGGGACCCGAAAGAUGGUGAACUAUGCCUGAAUAGGGUGAAGCCAGAGGAAACUCUGGUGGAGGCUCGUAGCGAUUCUGACGUGCAAAUCGAUCGUCAAAUUUGGGUAUAGGGGCGAAAGACUAAUCGAACCAUCUAGUAGCUGGUUCCUGCCGAAGUUUCCCUCAGGAUAGCAGAAACUCGUAUCAGAUUUAUGUGGUAAAGCGAAUGAUUAGAGGCCUUGGGGUUGAAACAACCUUAACCUAUUCUCAAACUUUAAAUAUGUAAGAACAAGCCGUCUCUUAAUUGGACCGCUUGGCGAUUGAGAGUUUCUAGUGGGCCAUUUUUGGUA